Small nucleolar RNA from Saccostrea cuccullata (small rock oyster), 89 nucleotides. RefSeq annotates it as small nucleolar RNA SNORD14. NCBI's taxonomy places the organism in Eukaryota, Metazoa, Mollusca, Bivalvia, Ostreida, Ostreidae. The record is from RefSeq and is a predicted model, not a curated record. The transcript has a single exon.
UAGUGAUGAUGAAAAUUUUUUUCUCCAUUCGCGGUUUCCACCAGAGAUUUUUCGAUGAUGGACCAAUCCUUCCUUGGAUGUCUGAACUA